CUUCACUGCAGUCGAGCGGCAGCGCGGGGCAACCUGGCGGCGAGCGGCGAACGGGUGAGUAAUGCAUCGGAACAUGUCCUGUCGUGGGGGAUAGCCCGGCGAAAGCCGGAUUAAUACCGCAUACGUCCGAGAGGAGAAAGUGGGGGACCGCAAGGCCUCACGCGAUUGGGUUGGCCGAUGUCCGAUUAGCUAGUUGGCGGGGUAAGAGCCCACCAAGGCGAUGAUCGGUAGCUGGUCUGAGAGGAUGAUCAGCCACACUGGGACUGAGACACGGCCCAGACUCCUACGGGAGGCAGCAGUGGGGAAUUUUGGACAAUGGGGGCAACCCUGAUCCAGCCAUUCCGCGUGAGUGAAGAAGGCCUUCGGGUUGUAAAGCUCUUUUGUCCGGAACGAAACGGUGGACGUGAAUAUCGUCCGCUACUGACGGUACCGGAAGAAUAAGCACCGGCUAACUACGUGCCAGCAGCCGCGGUAAUACGUAGGGUGCGAGCGUUAAUCGGAAUUACUGGGCGUAAAGCGUGCGCAGGCGGUUUUGUAAGCCAGAUGUGAAAUCCCCGGGCUCAACCUGGGAAUGGCAUUUGGGACUGCAAGGCUUGAGUGCGGCAGAGGAGACUGGAAUUCCUGGUGUAGCAGUGAAAUGCGUAGAUAUCAGGAGGAAUACCGAUGGCGAAGGCAGGUCUCUGGGCUGACACUGACGCUCAUGCACGAAAGCGUGGGGAGCAAACAGGAUUAGAUACCCUGGUAGUCCACGCCCUAAACGAUGUCGACUGGUUGUUGGGGGGUUUGACACUCUCAGUAAACGAAGCUAACGCGUGAAGUCGACCGCCUGGGGGAGUACGGCCGCAAGGUU
This 850-nucleotide ribosomal RNA is filed under the name uncultured bacterium. RNAcentral describes it as "bacterial SSU rRNA". It matches the Rfam family "Bacterial small subunit ribosomal RNA", at positions 49 to 895 of the family's 1533-position model. The record is from RNAcentral.